UCCCUCCAAAUUCCUUACCCGUCAGACCUAAAUAUUGGUCUGAGUGACCAAAAAUAAAAAGGAGGGAAAAUAAAAUUGAAAUGGACUUGGAGUCUUUAGUGACAAAUGAGUUCAUUUCAAACAUUA
This 126-nucleotide small nucleolar RNA is filed under the name Echinops telfairi (small Madagascar hedgehog). RNAcentral's name for it is "Small nucleolar RNA SNORA61 (ENSETEG00000024137.1)". The record is from RNAcentral. Lineage: Eukaryota; Metazoa; Chordata; Mammalia; Afrosoricida; Tenrecidae.